UCCGUUGUGGUCCAGUGGUUAGGAUUAACGGCUCUCACAAGUAGGGCCCGUGUUCGAUUCCCGGCAACGGAA
This is a non-coding RNA of Angiostrongylus costaricensis, 72 nucleotides long. The record is from Rfam. Lineage: Eukaryota; Metazoa; Nematoda; Chromadorea; Rhabditida; Metastrongylidae.